Molecule: long non-coding RNA, 639 nt
Organism: Panicum virgatum (switchgrass)
Lineage: Eukaryota; Viridiplantae; Streptophyta; Magnoliopsida; Poales; Poaceae
Exons: 2
Source: RefSeq, a predicted model, not a curated record
CGCCGCCUCCGUCGGCACCCGAGCCUCCGCCAGGACCAUCAAGCCGACCCACGCCGACGCCGGGGUUCAGGAGACCGGGCCGAGCCGCUGUCUCAUCAUCCAGCAGCGCGCGGGCGGCUUGUCCUCGUCCCCGUUCCCGUCCCCGUCCCCGCGCUCCUUGUCGCUACCGGCGGAGACAAAGAAGAACACCAAUCGAGCCCUCCGAAGCAACGCACCGGCAACGAAGAAGAAGAAGAAUCGAAUCAGCAGGUUAUGAUAUCUGUAACCCAGAUUUACUCGGUAUGGAGGAUGCGUUAGGUACAGCUAAACCUUAGUCAUCUGAUCACCAAUCUCCUCUGCCGAAUGAAGGAGCUCGGGCUGUUACCAAUAAAGUAGACAGUGAAGUUCACCCGAACGAGAUUUGGAAUUGAUUAUUUCGAUGUUCCUAAAUUUUCUUAACUCCUUAUUUAUGUUAGCCUUAAUGCUAAACAAGAGAAGCGUGCUGGUUGCCAAGAGCAGGCCAACAGAUUGGAUUUCAGGAUUUCCAAUUACAAAUGGACGUUUGCAGGUUAGGAUCAUCAUAUGCCACAUGAAGUGUGUACAUCUCUACUGUGGUUAUAACCUUUUGAAUCCAUGUCCGGUCCAGAUUAUAAAGAACAA